Molecule: non-coding RNA, 458 nt
Organism: Paramuricea clavata
Lineage: Eukaryota; Metazoa; Cnidaria; Anthozoa; Malacalcyonacea; Plexauridae
Source: the annotation of a GenBank genome assembly
UUACAAUUGACGCUAGUGCCACAUGUGAAAUGAAAUGCUUACCAAAUGCUAGGCUAAGCCCAAAAUUUGACCAAAGCUGCAAAAGCCAGCCGAGUAAAGGGCCUAGAUACAGGCAGCGUGGUUAAUAUUGAUCCGCUCUGGUAUUUAUUAAAUACUAAAAUCAAAUCGAAAUUUAUAAAGAACGUGAUAAUGGUCUAUGAUUGUCUAUGAUAUUCUCGAAAUAAAUUACACCACAAUCAUUUCGUUGUAUAUAUAUUUGAGUUUUUUUCUCGUAUUUUUAGCGAAAAAUGUACAAAACCAGGGGGGGGGAGGGUUAGUUGGGUUAGACUGCUACACUAUAUUUCAUUGAAAUGAUCCUCGAUAGAUCAUGAGUCACGUUUUAGAGUGAGUUACUAUUUUUAGACUUUUAGGGUUAGGAUUAGGGUUUGGUUUAGGGAAAGGAUUAAGGUUAGAGCAAG